Molecule: long non-coding RNA, 1625 nt
Filed under: Hordeum vulgare
Lineage: Eukaryota; Viridiplantae; Streptophyta; Magnoliopsida; Poales; Poaceae
Description: long non-coding RNA (HVUL_LNC004904)
Source: RNAcentral
GCCACAGCAAUCUUUCCUUGUCCGCAUAUUGUGGCCAAGAGCGCCCUGUAAAGAAAAGUUUUUCCUGUGCCUCCAGGUCCAUCAACAAAGAAUAUACCUCCUCUUUGGCAUUCAAUUGUUGCUAGGAUUUUGUCGUAGGCCUCCCUCUGCUCGUUGUUUAGGUUUUUAUUCAAAGAUAUGUCUUCAUGAUCCACCUCGAUGGAGGACUCCUCGAUGAUCUCCCUUGGUACGUCAUCUGUUGUCUCAUGUUGUUGGUCAAUCUUUGGAAGAGGAAAUGAUUCUAUGUCUUUUCCCAUUGAUUGCAACAUGUCUCUGAUAUUUUUGAGAACCAUUUGUUCGACCGUGUGCUUGCAUUUGCAAUUUCUGCUAUAGUCCUCUGACAUUGCCUCGAGGUGUUUGUUCCAGAGGCUACGUACGUCGCUAGGCUCGCAAAAAACCAAGAUUGUCGCAAAUAGCCUUCGUAGUGAUGAUGGCAUUCGAAAGAAUUCUGCUUCUGUCAUGCAAUCGUCCAAUGUGCUAUCUGCCUCGAUUAGUCCUCUUUUUUCUGCAGCUUCACGAAAGGUAGGCAUUACUUGUCCAUCGACUGUUCGUAGGUCUUCAUAGCUGGUGGCGCCUGUCACAUGGUUUAGUAGUACUCGAAGAUAGUAUCGUUCUCCUUCAGCCGGGUGUGCUGAGACGAUCCUGCCAACCUGGAACACAGCGGCUCGCUUCCUCUGUUGCCAAAACUUUCCCUGACUUUGCCAACUAUAAUGUUCUGGAAACUCUCUGUAUAGUAUGCCUCGUGCUUUUUCAUGUAAGCUAUUUGCUUCAAAGUACGCAGUCAACAUUGACCUUUCUGUGCCUUCACGGUCAAUAACAUUCUGUAUUUUUUCCAUUCCAUGAUAUGAAACCAUGUGCAUAUUUGGGAGAUGUAGCUGCAGUUGCAAGACCGGUGGGUGCAUUUUGCUUAGCUCGAAGCCAUAUAUUCUCCACAAUGCUUCAGGAGGUGUCACCCACCGUGCGUCUCUGUAUUGCUUAAUCUCAUCGAUUUCGACGUCGUCUGCUUUGUCAGUGACAGAUACAGAUGCUCGGUCAUGACCCUUGUAGAUGUACUUGAAGAGAUACUUAACGGCUUUAAUGCUUGAGAAUAUCUCAACAUUUAUGUGGUAGUUCAACAUCUUUAACAGAUAUGGAUUGUAAGGAACCACCCACCUGUUAUCUAGUUUGCAAUUUCGGACCGUUUCAGUCCGACCGUCAUCGCGUCUCCUAUAUAUUGGGUAGGAGUCCUUGCCUUGAAUCGUAGUUUCGUUAAAUGUCCUUGGAUAAUUAUUCUUGCAUGAUGGGCGAUUCUUUGUGCAUGGACAAAGUCUAUUCAAUGCACCGCAAGGACCAUGCAUCAUAUGUUUGAUUACCAUUCUGUAUAGAUUUGGGUACUUGUGCUUGUUAGGGAGUUCUGCAGAGAUGAUUCUGUCAUAUUGCUCUGGACAUGUGUACUUGUAUUUUCCGAUCAUGAUUAGCAGAAAGUGUGCAUGGGGUAAUCCCCUCUUUUGGAAUUCUACGACAUACGUAUAUGCUUGAACCUUUCCAAGAAUGGCCUUCUCAAAUAGUUGUUUCUUCAUUUCUUGUAGCUUGGCCCUGAAAACACG